RNAcentral lists this ribosomal RNA (351 nucleotides) under uncultured bacterium. Its description in RNAcentral is "partial 16S ribosomal RNA". It matches the Rfam family "Bacterial small subunit ribosomal RNA", at positions 338 to 682 of the family's 1533-position model. The record is from RNAcentral.
CCUACGGGAGGCAGCAGUGGGGAAUAUUGCGCAAUGGGCGAAAGCCGGACGCAGCGAAGCCGCGGGAGGGAUGAAGGUCUUCGGAUCGGAAACCUCGGUCAGCAGGGAAGAACGGUCACAGGGCUAAGCAGCAGUGAAUUGACGGUACCGGCAAAGGAAGCACCGGCUAACUCCGUGCCAGCAGCCGCGGUAAUACGGGGGAGCGAGCGUUAAUCGGAAUUAAUGGGCGUAAAGAGAUCGUAGGCGGUAUGUCAAGUCAAGGGUGAAAUCCCCGCGCUCAACGUGGGAACUGCCUUUGAAACUGGCACCCUGGAGUGUGUCGCAGGCUAGUGUAAUUCCCGGUGUAGUCGU